GAAACGACUGCUAAGACUGGAUAGGAGACAAGAAGGCAUCUUCUUGUUUUUAAAAGACCUAGCAAUAGGUAUGCUUAGGGAGGAGCUUGCGUCACAUUAGUUAGUUGGUGGGGUAAAGGCCUACCAAGACUAUGAUGUGUAGCCGGGCUGAGAGGUUGAACGGCCACAUUGGGACUGAGACACGGCCCAAACUCCUACGGGAGGCAGCAGUAGGGAAUUUUCGGCAAUGGAGGAAACUCUGACCGAGCAACGCCGCGUGAACGAUGAAGUAUUUCGGUACGUAAAGUUCUUUUAUUAGGGAAGAAUAAAUGAUGGAAAAAUCAUUCUGACUGUACCUAAUGAAUAAGCCCCGGCUAACUAUGUGCCAGCAGCCGCGGUAAUACAUAGGGGGCAAGCGUUAUCCGGAAUUAUUGGGCGUAAAGGGUGCGUAGGCGGUUAAAUAAGUUUAUGGUCUAAGUGCAAUGCUCAACAUUGUGAUGCUAUAAAAACUGUUUAGCUAGAGUAAGAUAGAGGCAAGUGGAAUUCCAUGUGUAGUGGUAAAAUGCGUAAAUAUAUGGAGGAACACCAGUAGCGAAGGCGGCUUGCUGGGUCUUUACUGACGCUGAGGCACGAAAGCGUGGGGAGCAAACAGGAUUAGAUACCCUGGUAGUCCACGCCGUAAACGAUGAGUACUAAACGUUGGGUAAAACCAGUGUUGAAGUUAACACAUUAAGUACUCCGCCUGAGUAGUACGUACGCAAGUAUGAAACUUAAAGGAAUUGACGGGACUCCGCACAAGCGGUGGAUCAUGUUGUUUAAUUCGAAGGUACCCGAAAAACCUCACCAGGUCUUGACAUGCUUCUGCAAAGCUGUAGAAACACAGUGGAGGUUAUCAGUUGCACAGGUGGUGCAUGGUUGUCGUCAGCUCGUGUCGUGAGAUGUUGGGUUAAGUCCCGCAACGAGCGCAACCCUUAUUGUUAGUUACCAGCACGUAAUGGUGGGGACUUUAGCAAGACUGCCAGUGAUAAAUUGGAGGAAGGUGGGGACGACGUCAAAUCAUCAUGCCCCUUAUGACCUGGGCUACAAACGUGAUACAAUGGCUGUUACAAAGGGUAGCUGAAGCGCAAGUUUUUGGCGAAUCUCAAAAAAACAGUCUCAGUUCGGAUUGAAGUCUGCAACUCGACUUCAUGAAGUUGGAAUCGCUAGUAAUCGCGAAUCAGCAUGUCGCGGUGAAUACGUUCUCGGGGUUUGUACACACCGCCCGUCA
RNAcentral lists this ribosomal RNA (1246 nucleotides) under Phytoplasma sp. RNAcentral describes it as "bacterial SSU rRNA". It matches the Rfam family "Bacterial small subunit ribosomal RNA", at positions 153 to 1399 of the family's 1533-position model. The record is from RNAcentral. Lineage: Bacteria; Bacillati; Mycoplasmatota; Mollicutes; Acholeplasmatales; Acholeplasmataceae.